RNAcentral lists this ribosomal RNA (485 nucleotides) under uncultured bacterium. RNAcentral's name for it is "partial 16S ribosomal RNA". It matches the Rfam family "Bacterial small subunit ribosomal RNA", at positions 30 to 507 of the family's 1533-position model. The record is from RNAcentral.
AUUGAACGCUGGCGGCAUGCCUUACACAUGCAAGUCGAACGGCAGCACGGGUGCUUGCACCUGGUGGCGAGUGGCGAACGGGUGAGUAAUACAUCGGAACAUGUCCUGUAGUGGGGGAUAGCCCGGCGAAAGCCGGAUUAAUACCGCAUACGAUCUACGGAUGAAAGCGGGGGACCUUCGGGCCUCGCGCUAUAGGGUUGGCCGAUGGCUGAUUAGCUAGUUGGUGGGGUAAAGGCCUACCAAGGCGACGAUCAGUAGCUGGUCUGAGAGGACGACCAGCACACCUGGAAUUGAGCACCGCCCAGGCUCCUACGGGGAGGCAGAGUGGGGAAAUUUGGACAAUGGGCGAAAGCCUGAUCCAGCAAUGCCGCGUGUGUGAAGAAGGCCUUCGGGUUGUAAAGCACUUUUGUCCGGAAAGAAAUCCUUGGCCCUAAUACGGUCGGGGGAUGACGGUACCGGAAGAAUAAGCACCGGCUAACUACGUG